Molecule: ribosomal RNA, 260 nt
Filed under: uncultured archaeon
Lineage: Archaea
Description: partial 16S ribosomal RNA
Rfam family: Archaeal small subunit ribosomal RNA
Source: RNAcentral
UAGCCGUAAACGAUACUCGCUAGGUGUCGGCCACGGUGCGACCGUUGUCGGUGCCGUAGGGAAGCCGUGAAGCGAGCCACCUGGGAAGUACGGCCGCAAGGCUGAAACUUAAAGGAAUUGGCGGGGGAGCACAACAACGGGUGGAGCUUGCGGUUUAAUUGGAUUCAACGCCGAAAAACUCACCAGCAGCGACUGUUACAUGAAAGUCAGGUUGAUGACCUUACUAGAUUUCAGAGAGGUGGUGCAUGGCGUCAGUGACU